GCAGGGGUGGUCCACAAAUGGCACUAUAGCUGCAAUGACAAUUGUAGAAAAUCUAUACAAAAAAAAAAAAAAACAAAAAAAAAAAAAGGGAGCCGGGGGGGG
This is a long non-coding RNA of Poecilia latipinna (sailfin molly), 102 nucleotides long. RefSeq lists it as uncharacterized. The transcript is spliced from 2 exons. The record is from RefSeq and is a predicted model, not a curated record. NCBI's taxonomy places the organism in Eukaryota, Metazoa, Chordata, Actinopteri, Cyprinodontiformes, Poeciliidae.